Molecule: ribosomal RNA, 247 nt
Filed under: uncultured cyanobacterium
Lineage: Bacteria; Bacillati; Cyanobacteriota
Description: partial 16S ribosomal RNA
Rfam family: Bacterial small subunit ribosomal RNA
Source: RNAcentral
CUAGCCGUAAACGAUGGAUACUAGAUGUUGUCUGUAUCGACCCAGACAGUGUCGUAGCUAACGCGUUAAGUAUCCCGCCUGGGGAGUACGCACGCAAGUGUGAAACUCAAAGGAAUUGACGGGGGCCCGCACAAGCGGUGGAGUAUGUGGUUUAAUUCGAUGCAACGCGAAGAACCUUACCAGGGCUUGACAUGUCGCGAAUCUUCGGGAAACCGGAGAGUGCCUUCGGGAACGCGAACACAGGUGG